CUAGUAAUCGUGGAUCAGCAUGCCACGGUGAAUACGUUCCCGGGCCUUGUACACACCGCCCGUCACACCAUGGGAGUCGGUAACACCCGAAGCCUGUAGUCUAACCGCAAGGAGGACGCAGUCGAAGGUGGGAUUGAUGACUGGGGUGAAGUCGUAACAAGGUAAC
This 166-nucleotide ribosomal RNA is filed under the name uncultured bacterium. RNAcentral describes it as "partial 16S ribosomal RNA". It matches the Rfam family "Bacterial small subunit ribosomal RNA", at positions 1335 to 1500 of the family's 1533-position model. The record is from RNAcentral.